Regulatory RNA element from Blautia sp., 97 nucleotides. It matches the Rfam family "pemK RNA". The record is from Rfam. Lineage: Bacteria; Bacillati; Bacillota; Clostridia; Lachnospirales; Lachnospiraceae.
AUAAUGAUACUCCCGUACAGCCACAGUCCGAGCGUUAGAAGCGUCGCACACAAUGGGUACGGCUGUAUGAGAACCAUACAGGGCUGAAAUGCUGUGG